AGACAGCAGUAGCCGCGGUAAUACGUAGGUCCCGAGCGUUGUCCGGAUUUAUUGGGCGUAAAGCGAGCGCAGGCGGUUAGAAAAGUCUGAAGUGAAAGGCAGUGGCUCAACCAUUGUAGGCUUUGGAAACUGUUUAACUUGAGUGCAGAAGGGGAGAGUGGAAUUCCAUGUGUAGCGGUGAAAUGCGUAGAUAUAUGGAGGAACACCGGUGGCGAAAGCGGUUCUCUGGUCUGUAACUGACGCUGAGGCUCGAAAGCGUGGGGAGCAAACAGGAUUAGAUACCCGAGUAGUCCCUGUCUCUUAUACA
Molecule: ribosomal RNA, 307 nt
Filed under: uncultured bacterium
Lineage: Bacteria
Description: partial 16S ribosomal RNA
Rfam family: Bacterial small subunit ribosomal RNA
Source: RNAcentral